CAGGCCCCAGAACAUCAAGGCCUGAGCUCGCUGAGGAUGGCGGGAACUGAAGAGCAGCCGUCCGCAGUCCUCCCUUCUACCCGUGCCCCCGCGACCCGGCCCCGUCUCAAGCCCCCUGCACGAUAGAUGCCUGCAGUGACAGGCCUGAGUCCUAGCACGUGAGAGACUGAAGCAGAAGGGCCAAGAGAUUGAGGCCAUGGCUAUGGUGAUAGUUAGAGCAUAAAGGAACUUGCUUUCGUGACCCAGGACCACACGGCGGAAGGAGAGCUGAUUCCACCCAGCGAGUUAUCCUGUGACUUGUCAGCAUACACAUACACGAAAUAAAUCCCUCAAGAGGAAGAAUUACUGAGAAGAAAGCGACCAAUAAGCUGGCAAAGGAGGAGGAAGUCCCUGCUUCUCUAACAGCACAGCCACAAAACUUUUAAGCCGAUUCGUUUCAUUGCAUGCUCAGUCCAUAAAAAGAAUAAAACAUAAAAACACAUUCUGCAUGAUCAAUUAGGCGCUUUUCUUGGAUUAUAGUAUUUGAAUCAUCCAGCCUCCAAAGUAUCGCUUUAAAGUCUCCACUCAUACUGCCAAACAAUAGUUUUCACAUUUUCUUAAUCUGAUCAGCAGAUUAUGAAGUUAAGUGAGGCAAGAAAUCCCUUGAUCAAUAAAUGGAGAUGGAGUCAUAAUGAAAGCACAAUUUAAAAAAAAUCUCUCCUUAACUGGGAAGUAGUUACCUAAAUCCUCUAUAAGCAUCAAGGCCUUUCUUUGUUUAAGAUGCACAGGAAAAAGAUACAGAUUUGGGUUGCAGAGUGAGAUGCAGUCAACAUACUAACAAAUGGCUAGAGCCCGAGACGCUCCUUUCCUGCAAAGAGAACUGGACCUCUGUCUUGUGUUGCACCUCAUUAUACACGAUGCACAGACAUAUGUGGUCCAUCUAGGGCUUCCCCCACCCCGCUGAGGAUGGAAUUCAGGGUCUCGUGUAUAUGAGGCAAGCAUUCUGCCACUAAGCUAUUCCCAGUUUGCUGAGAGCUUUUUGGUUUUUUUUCCUCCUUUCCUUUCUAGUGGACUGAAAAUAGAUAGUCAGGGAACUAUAAACUGUAAAGACUGUCAAAAGAGUUCUCAUGUGUGCUCUCAUGGGGUGACAAGGACAGGGGAGGGAAACUGAGGUGUGGAUGUGGGGUGCGGUGUUGAACAAUGCCAGCAAGACUGGGUGAGAGCUAGUACAGCUUUCCAGCCGGUAUUGAAAAAGGAAUUUAGAGAAAGGAAAGCUGAACUGUAAAUGGCUAGUUUGGUAAGAGCCUGGCGCAGCUUUUUAAAUUCUAUCUAUUUAUUUGGUGUUUUGAGAUGGGGUUUCAGCUGCCCUCAAACUUGAUCUGUAGACCAGGCUGGUCGUGAACUCACAUAUUCAUCUGCCUCUGUCUCCUGAGUGCUACGAUUAAAGGCUAAAUAAUUUAUUUGUGUGUGUGUGUGUGAGUAUUCUGUCUACAUGUAUGUCUGUGCACCACUUGCAUGUCUGAAGCUCACAGAGUCCAGAAGGCAGUAUUGAAUAACCCUGGAACUGGAGUUACAGACAGUUGUGAGCCACCAUGUGGGUGCUGGGAAUUGAACUCUGGGUCCUCUGGAAGAGUAGCCAGUGUUCUGAACCACUGACCAGUGUCGCUAGCCCUGCCCACCCAGUGGCUUCUGUAAAUAAAGUAUUUGUGAGCCACAACUCAGCCCACUCUAGCAACAACUCAGUAAGUCAGCAGGCUCUGAUACUGAUGAGAAGGAAUGGGAGCGAUAGCCAGGGAAAACCUUUCUGUGAACAACAGAGCAAGUUUGCUAGGAAAGGCAAGCUCUGGGUGGAGUCCUGGGAAAAGUGACUAUCUAAGGGAUGCCAGAGAUCCCAGGCAGUCACAAAGAUUUGCUAAACAUUGUGGGUAAAUGAUCUCACAGAACCUCAGCACUCAGGGAUUAAGAGACUAUCAGUGCAUAACAAAGAUUCGCUAAAACGCUGGAAACCUGUAAGGCCACUUCUGGCUUUACAAGAAUGACAUGGUUUUGUGUUGAGAUUACUCUACUUGGAAAUCAACUCCAAGGCUCUCAGAGGGUGCUGUAGGGCAGGCCAAGAGACAAAGACCCAUGUGCUAGGGAGAGGGUGGGGGUAGGAGUGUGUGGAGGGUGGUCUGAGAGGUGGGAUAAGGAACAGACUCAGAGAAACAGGAAACAAUUAACUUGAAAGCCUGGCAGAGAAAGACAGACCACAUGAGGGUCUCAAGGAGGGAAAGUGGGCUCACUGUGGCUCAACACACACACAUCACCACUACAAACAGAUGUUGAACUCAACAGGGUUGAGCAAAUGCUUGGGAAAAGCACCAGUUUAGCUUCAGGGAAUGCCUGCAAGGUGCCAAAUUUAAUACAAUGCCACGCAGUCCAAAUGUCUUGGGAGUAAAUAGUAAAACUGCAAAAACCGGAGCUAAGGACACCUACUUUACGUUGUUUCCCCAUGGGAAUGUUUCAAGACAGUUUCCCACACAGACACACUGGAAAUAUAUUUGUGAUUUUUGCCAUGUCUAACAACUUCCUAUACUAUUGCCUAGUUACUUUAUUCUUUGUCAUCUUUGCUGGGGAUCAAAUCCAGAGCCCUGUCCAUGCCAGACAAGUGUUCUACCAUCCAGCUACAUCCCUGACCCUUGCUGUUUUGAGACAUAGCCUAACUGUAUAGCUCAGGCUAGCCUUGAACUCACUAUGCAGCUGGCUCAUCUUCACAAUCCUCUUGCCUCUAUCUCCUAAGAACAGGGAUUAUAAGUGUGAGCCACCACAGCUAUUCUGACAAACAUGUAACAUUCAUGGUACACACAGACACACAUGCACACACGUUGUUCGACGGGCUGUUUUUCUUUGUGACAUAUACCUAUGUUGGUGUGUAUGCAUACAGGAGGAGGAAGAAGAAUGAGGCCCAAGUGUCUUCAGUGGCAGUAUCUACCUAUCUAAACACGUUUUGGGAAUUAUUGGUUUUAGAGACUGCAGCCUACAGCCAGGCAUUUCUCACACAUGGUUAGUGAGCCAUUAGAAGGUUUUGAAACUGAGUAGUGAGUCACAGAUAUACUAAGCAGUAAUGACUGACCAGGAUGGGGGCCUAGAGAAUGCUGGCACAGUGCACAUGGUGUAGGAGCUCAGAUCUGAUUUCCAUUACAGAUUAUCUUUCCUGAAGACUUGAAUGUUAACUUGCUGACAGGGAGAAAGAAAUCCCUGUACAUUUCACUGAGUAUAGUAGGAAACACUACUAUUCUAUUAGUGUUUCUCUUUCUUCCUGUUCUGUAACAGUUUCUAGAUAGAGAGAAGGCUGGUGUAUCUCUCUCUUCAGUAACCUAGUAACUGCAAAAAGGGUGAGGAGGGAUAAUGACAGACAAAAAGAGAUCUUAUAUUCCCUGUUCAAACUGCCCUUCAUGGAGAACUUGAAUUUCCGGAGCUGUAGAGAGCCUUUUAGAGUAAUUAUUUGAUGUCAGACCUUUGCAAUGCUCUUACCAGAAUUCAAAGUACUGACUGUGAUGUGUGUGUUUAGAAUUAUUAAUUUUUAUUUUGUGUGUACCCACAGGUAUUGUGCCUGUAUAUAUGUCUAUACUAUAAGAAUGCAGAGGAUAGAAGAGGGUACCGGAUCCUCUGGAACUGGAAUUACAGAUAGUUGUGAACCACAAUGUGGGUGCUAGCAACUGAGCCCAGGUUUUUGGAAGAGCAGCCAGUGCUUUUAACUAUUGAACUAUCCAGCCUCAAACAUGAUGCAUCUUAUGGUGUUCUUUAUGGUGCUAGGGACUGAACACACACACACACACAGACACACAGACACACACACACACACACACACACACAGACACACAGACACACACACACACACACACUCAUGCUACUACUGAGUUACACCCCUAGCCUUUCUUUAACAAGUUCUUUACAUUCAAGCUUUAAGCUUCAAAAACACCAUAAUAGUGUGCCUUUUCUUCUGUUGUCUAGAUUUUUGAAACACUAUCUUGCUUAUGUAGCCUGGCUAACCUGGAAUGUACUUUGUAGACCAGACUGUCCUGAAACUCAUGAACACACAGGUUAGUAUUAAAAGCCUGUAUUUCAAUAUCAAGCCCCAAAUAAUUUUUUAAAAGCCUGGAACAAUAUUUAAAAUUCAAGGGGUCCUAUACAAACUUCUAGAUUUUGUUUUGUUUUGAGUAGCACAAUCAAGAUUCUCACAUUUAACCCUACAGCAACUAGAUAGAUAAUGAAGAAAUAUUAAUAGCCAGGGAGCUGCCUUGAAUCUCAGCAUUGGGGAGGCAGAGGCAGGUGGGGCUUUGUGAGUUUGAGACCAGCCUGGUCUACAUGGAGAGUUCUAGGACAGCCAGAGCUAUAUAGUAAAAACCUGUCUCAAUAAAUAAAUAAAUGAAAUAAAAAAAUCAGAUCCAUUUUCCUGCCACUUAUAGAGACAUGGAGUCAUAGAGUAUUUCUUAACACUAAUGAUGUCCACAACAAGCACUCAUUGGCCAUGUUGUGGAUCAAAAUCUGUUCUGAGUAGUUUCUGGAUUCUGACCCAUUUAAUCACCGCAUUCCUACAAAUUAGAAAAGUGUCCUUGUCCGGUGUCCGUAUCAGCGUGAUGAUAAAUGGUACCUGGUACUCAGCCUCAGUGUGGAAGGAGAGAGUCUGAGAGAGUUGGAGGGCACAUUCCUGACUAAGUGAGGGCAUUGUCUCCAGACGAUGAUUUCCUCAUGGGAAUGUGGGUCUGCUGCCUCUCCUCCUUGGCACCAAACGCUGGGAUACUGUGAAUGAGACAUGGCAGGCCUGCUGUCAAAGCAGGCAGUUAGUAGUGGUUUCUCCAGCACUUGUUUAUUUCUAUAGCACUGUGAGAUCAUGUUCACCACCCCCCCACCAUAUACCCUACUGUUUAGCCCAGUCCAACCAAACGUCUCUUGGAGCCAAAAGAAGUAGUAAUGAGUGCUUCAGUGCCUAGAGGAAUGCUCCAGAGAGUGGGCAAGAUAUUGAAUAAUUUUUCUUUAAAACAAGGUCUGGUCAGGCUGUGGUAGCACAUGCCUUUAAUUCCAGCACUCAGGAGACAGAAGCAGGUGGAGCUCUAUGAGUUCGA
This is a long non-coding RNA of Mesocricetus auratus (golden hamster), 5084 nucleotides long. RefSeq lists it as uncharacterized. The record is from RefSeq and is a predicted model, not a curated record. The transcript is spliced from 4 exons. NCBI's taxonomy places the organism in Eukaryota, Metazoa, Chordata, Mammalia, Rodentia, Cricetidae.